RNAcentral lists this ribosomal RNA (502 nucleotides) under marine metagenome. Its description in RNAcentral is "bacterial SSU rRNA". It matches the Rfam family "Archaeal small subunit ribosomal RNA", at positions 600 to 1099 of the family's 1478-position model. The record is from RNAcentral.
UGGGAGAGGUAGACGGUACUCGGUAGGAAGGGGUAAAAUCCUUUGAUCUAUUGAUGACCACCUGUGGCGAAGGCGGUCUACCAGAACACGUCCGACGGUGAGGGAUGAAAGCUGGGGGAGCAAACCGGAUUAGAUACCCGGGUAGUCCCAGCUGUAAACUAUGCAAACUCAGUGAUGCAUUGGCUUGUGGCCAAUGCAGUGCUGCAGGGAAGCCGUUAAGUUUGCCGCCUGGGAAGUACGUACGCAAGUAUGAAACUUAAAGGAAUUGGCGGGGGAGCACCACAAGGGGUGAAGCCUGCGGUUCAAUUGGAGUCAACGCCAGAAAUCUUACCCGGAGAGACAGCAGAAUGAAGGUCAAGCUGAAGACUUUACCAGACAAGCUGAGAGGUGGUGCAUGGCCGUCGCCAGCUCGUGCCGUGAGAUGUCCUGUUAAGUCAGGUAACGAGCGAGAUCCCUGCCUCUAGUUGCCACCAUUACUCUCAGGAGUAGUGGGGCGAAUUAG